GACGAACGCUGGCGGCGUGCCUAAUACAUGCAAGUAGAACGCUGAAGGAGGAGCUUGCUUCUCUGGAUGAGUUGCGAACGGGUGAGUAACGCGUAGGUAACCUGCCUGGUAGCGGGGGAUAACUAUUGGAAACGAUAGCUAAUACCGCAUAAUAGUAGAUGUUGCAUGACAUUUGCUUAAAAGGUGCAAUUGCAUCACUACCAGAUGGACCUGCGUUGUAUUAGCUAGUUGGUGGGGUAACGGCUCACCAAGGCGACGAUACAUAGCCGACCUGAGAGGGUGAUCGGCCACACUGGGACUAAGACACGGCCCAGACUCCUACGGGAGGCAGCAGUAGGGAAUCUUCGGCAAUAGACGGAAGUCUGACCGAGCAACGCCGCGUGAGUGAAGAAGGUUUUCGGAUCGUAAAGCUCUGUUGUAAGAGAAGAACGAGUGUGAGAGUGGAAAGUUCACACUGUGACGGUAUCUUACCAGAAAGGGACGGCUAACUACGUG
This 495-nucleotide ribosomal RNA is filed under the name uncultured bacterium. RNAcentral describes it as "partial 16S ribosomal RNA". It matches the Rfam family "Bacterial small subunit ribosomal RNA", at positions 28 to 507 of the family's 1533-position model. The record is from RNAcentral.